Musa acuminata AAA Group (dessert banana) is the source of this 1459-nucleotide long non-coding RNA. RefSeq lists it as uncharacterized. The record is from RefSeq and is a predicted model, not a curated record. The transcript is spliced from 2 exons. Lineage: Eukaryota; Viridiplantae; Streptophyta; Magnoliopsida; Zingiberales; Musaceae.
AGGUGGUGCAGGGGAGGGGAUCCGAGUUGGGAAGGGAGAGAGCCGAGCCUCGAGGCCAUUGGAGAUCCUCUCUGCCUUUGCUCUCUCUUAUUAGAGGAGCAACUCGUUGUUCGAGUUUGCUCGUUGCUUUCGCUUCUCGGAGUCCCGCAUGUAACGGAACGGAGGCGAGCGCGGAGAGUGGAAUGUGGCAGAGGAAAGUAACUCUUUGAUCUCAAUACCGCCACGCCGAACUCGAUCAGAUCCUCUCCUUAACAGUGUUUGAUAUAAUGUGCGUGUGAACUGUUAUUGUUCGGCGGUAACGUGGGCAAAAGGUUGGUAAAAGAAGACUCGGGUCAUCUCAUUCGAAGUGGGCUUUGAAUUAUUUAUUUACGUUGACUGCCGUCAAAAACCGCUGAUCCAACGGGCGAGAUCCGAGCCGCCGACUUCUCUUUACUGAGGCAAAAGAGUGAGCACCUCGUGGACACCGUCUGAGGGAAGAGCGAGCAAGGGAGCUCUCAUGUCAUCCCUCCUUGCCUCCAAGCUUCUUUCCGAGCCGUCGCCUUCCUCCUCCUCUCGGUCGUCCCUCUGCUUCUCCUCCCCCUCUCCUCCCUCUCUUCUCCCGCGCUCCGUCGCCUUUCCUUUUCCUAAGCGGAGAAGAUGCCGCUUGAGGCUCGUCCGGGCCCAAGAUUCCGACACCGUCGCUUCCGGCGGCGACCCCAAGCCCCAAUAUGGCAAUCUGGGCCGCUCUCGCUUUUAACUUGGACAUGAUGACUUCUCGAGGGGUUUCAUCUGUGACCUGUUCGUGGCAACUGAAGUUGAUUACCAGAAUUCUUGUCAUUUUUUUCUUGGCUACCUUGUGAUCACCAUGACUUUAACAUAGCAUACCUAAAGGUUGCAUUCUUCGGUGAUUUCUGGGUUUAGAAGAGUGAUUGUGUAUUUCCUUAUUUUGUGUAGGAUUCAAGAAUAGUGCAUCCUUGUAGAAAGUUUGAAGUGACUGGACUGCCUACGACAUUCCAUCUGAUCAAGUUAUUAGUUGCAGAUGUCAUGAAACUAUACUGUAAAAAAAUAAUAAGAGAGUACUCACUUUGCAUAAAUGACCCAAGAGGACUAAAUUAGGAUCAAUAUGCAAUAUUUGAAAGGUGGGGUGGGUGGGGUGGUGAAGGAAGAAGGAAGAGGUAGGCGGAGAAGAAACAGAAAGGUAUUAGUGAGUCACUGCCAUGCUUGUCUAUAUUUUUCAUGGCAAUUGCAUUGGUUUCCUGCCACUAUUUAUGUGUUUUUAUUAGGAGACCAUUCUGUUAGCCAAGGGCAAUCAUGUGGAUGUAUUACAUGUAUGCUUAAUCACACCUGCAUUGUUCUGAUCUUGAAUAUUAUCUGCCCAAGAACAGGAGGGAUGUUCUUUUGGAAUAUGUGAAAAAUGUUCAGCCAGAGUUCAUGGACUUAUUUAUGAAAAAAACACCACAACAGGUAAGUUAUGAUCUGA